AUGUGUUCCAAUUUCUGGCCUUGCACCGACCAUCUAAUGGACCAUGGACUAAACGGCCACUGCCUGAAAGGACUAUGUCCCAUGGACCGCCACCCCCCCACAAGGUACAUCUCGCGCCUAUGGGCUGCUAUAACUAUCCAAGAAGACACUCGAAACAGGAAGGAUAAACAAACCCACCCGGUGGACUGCCGAGCUACAAGUCCCACGACACAGGAGCGAGAUUCUCUAAAAAGCCAAGGUCGCGGGUGGCCAAGAGGGCCCACUUGAAGACUUGGGAUCUCAGCAGGAAAUGUGAAGGUUGCUUAA
Molecule: non-coding RNA, 306 nt
Organism: Vicia faba (fava bean)
Lineage: Eukaryota; Viridiplantae; Streptophyta; Magnoliopsida; Fabales; Fabaceae
Source: the annotation of a GenBank genome assembly